Molecule: ribosomal RNA, 253 nt
Filed under: uncultured bacterium
Lineage: Bacteria
Description: partial 16S ribosomal RNA
Rfam family: Bacterial small subunit ribosomal RNA
Source: RNAcentral
UACGGAGGGUGCAAGCGUUAUCCGGAUUCACUGGGUUUAAAGGGUGCGUAGGAGGGCAGGUAAGUCAGUGGUGAAAUCCCCGAGCUUAACUUGGGAACUGCCGUUGAUACUAUCUGUCUUGAAUGUUGUGGAGGUAAGCAGAAUAUGUCAUGUAGCGGUGAAAUGCUUAGAUAUGACAUAGAAUACCUAUUGCGAAGGCAGCUUACUACGCAGAUAUUGACGCUCAUGCACGAAAGCGUGGGGAUCAAACAGG